RNAcentral lists this transfer RNA (68 nucleotides) under Marmota monax (woodchuck). RNAcentral's name for it is "tRNA.Undet". The record is from RNAcentral. Lineage: Eukaryota; Metazoa; Chordata; Mammalia; Rodentia; Sciuridae.
GGGCUGUGGCUCAGUGGUAGAGCGCCUGCCUAGCAGUAUGAGGCACUGGGUUCGAUCCCCCCGUACCA